Molecule: small RNA, 107 nt
Filed under: Marmota monax (woodchuck)
Lineage: Eukaryota; Metazoa; Chordata; Mammalia; Rodentia; Sciuridae
Source: RNAcentral
GCCAGGUGUGGUGGUGCACACCUGUAAUCCCAGAGACUCAGGAGGUUGAGGCAGGAGGAUUGAAAAUUUGAAGCCAGCCUCAGCAACUUAGAGAGAAUCUGCCUCAA